This 492-nucleotide ribosomal RNA is filed under the name uncultured bacterium. Its description in RNAcentral is "partial 16S ribosomal RNA". It matches the Rfam family "Bacterial small subunit ribosomal RNA", at positions 29 to 507 of the family's 1533-position model. The record is from RNAcentral.
AGUGAACGCUGGCGGUAGGCCUAACACAUGCAAGUCGAACGGCAGCACAGUAAGAGCUUGCUCUUACGGGUGGCGAGUGGCGGACGGGUGAGGAAUACAUCGGAAUCUACUUUUUCGUGGGGGAUAACGUAGGGAAACUUACGCUAAUACCGCAUACGACCUACGGGUGAAAGCAGGGGAUCUUCGGACCUUGCGCGAUUGAAUGAGCCGAUGUCGGAUUAGCUAGUUGGCGGGGUAAAGGCCCACCAAGGCGACGAUCCGUAGCUGGGCUGAGAGGAUGAUCAGCCACACUGGAACUGAGACACGGUCCAGACUCCUACGGGAGGCAGCAGUGGGGAAUAUUGGACAAUGGGCGCAAGCCUGAUCCAGCCAUACCGCGUGAGUGAAGAAGGCCUUCGGGUUGUAAAGCACUUUUGUUGGGAAAGAAAAGCAGCAGGUUAAUACCCCGCUGUUCUGACGGUACCCAAAGAAUAAGCACCGGCUAACUUCGUG